CUGGAACGUUGUAUUUGAGAAUGACGUGCAUCAGAUAUGACCAGACAGCUUUAAGGAACUAAGGUUGACUUUAUGGAGCCAACGUUUACAGAGCCCUUUGGAAAAACCAGCCUGGAACCUGGUUUGUAUGGUUCCUAGUCUUACAGCUGACUGCCCAGAUCCUUAUUGGGACCAUCUAAAGAAGCCCUCCCUGCAAGCUGAGGCUGAAUGCUUCAAUGCUCUACUUUAAGAAAUAAUCGUGACUGUGACACUGAUGUCUAUGCCACCACCAAAGACAUUUAAACUGCAAACCAGGAAAUUCAUCAGCUUGCCACUGCUGUCCUCACUCCACCAUCUAAAGAUGCUUCAAGCCCAACCUCUAGAAGUCUUCUCAACUGACUGGCCUCUGAACUCAAAAACUACCAACUUGGCCUUUGAUAUGUGAAAGUUCCUGUAAAGAUUCAGGCAGGGGAAACAAAGGAGAUCAGGAUGUGUCACCCCAAAAUUUGUCACUUUGGCAUAAGGAUUAUUUUGAUCUGAAGGCAACUAGGAAGUGCCAAACACAGCAGGAGCUCUCUACCUUCCCCCGUCUGCCUGAAAGCAGGCAUAAGCUUCCCUUCCGUUG
This 604-nucleotide long non-coding RNA is filed under the name Equus asinus (donkey). RNAcentral's name for it is "lncRNA (ENSEASG00005033095.1, ENSEASG00020003678.1)". The record is from RNAcentral. Lineage: Eukaryota; Metazoa; Chordata; Mammalia; Perissodactyla; Equidae.